Molecule: transfer RNA, 61 nt
Filed under: Taenia tianguangfui
Lineage: Eukaryota; Metazoa; Platyhelminthes; Cestoda; Cyclophyllidea; Taeniidae
Description: tRNA-Gln
Source: RNAcentral
UUUAAUGUGGUGUUUGGCAUUUUACAUUUUGGUUGUAAAGGUGAUUAGUUAUCCAUUAAAU